CUUACCUAGGAUUUUGGGGACGGUGUGUGGGAUUGUGUGUCUGAGAUUGCUCGUGGGAUUAAUCAGGAUCUUGGUGAUUCUCGUGUGCAUGUUGCUGCAGAUCAGCCUUGUGGUGGGUCUGACACUGUGCCGGAAGUUAAUAAUGUCAUUGUUGC
This is a long non-coding RNA of Ipomoea triloba (trilobed morning glory), 155 nucleotides long. RefSeq lists it as uncharacterized. NCBI's taxonomy places the organism in Eukaryota, Viridiplantae, Streptophyta, Magnoliopsida, Solanales, Convolvulaceae. The transcript is spliced from 3 exons. The record is from RefSeq and is a predicted model, not a curated record.